Molecule: ribosomal RNA, 440 nt
Filed under: uncultured bacterium
Lineage: Bacteria
Description: partial 16S ribosomal RNA
Rfam family: Bacterial small subunit ribosomal RNA
Source: RNAcentral
CCUACGGGGGGCAGCAGUAGGGAAUAUUGCUCAAUGGGGGAAACCCUGAAGCAGCAACGCCGCGUGGAGGAUGAAGGUUUUCGGAUUGUAAACUCCUUUUGUUAGAGAAGAUAAUGACGGUAUCUAACGAAUAAGCACCGGCUAACUCCGUGCCAGCAGCCGCGGGAAUACGGAGGGUGCAAGCGUUACUCGGAAUCACUGGGCGUAAAGAGCGCGUAGGCGGGAUAGCAAGUCAGAUGUGAAAUCCUAUGGCUUAACCAUAGAACUGCAUUUGAAACUGUUAUUCUAGAGUAUGGGAGAGGUAGGUGGAAUUCUUGGUGUAGGCGUAAAAUCCGUAGAGAUCAAGAGGAAUACUCAUUGCGAAGGCGACCUGCUAGAACAUAACUGACGCUGAUGCGCGAAAGCGUGGGGAGCAAACAGGAUUAGAUACCCCAGUAGUC